Molecule: transfer RNA, 83 nt
Filed under: Pampinifervens florentissimum
Lineage: Bacteria; Pseudomonadati; Aquificota; Aquificia; Aquificales; Aquificaceae
Also listed under: 2 other names
Description: Hydrogenobacter sp. T-8 tRNA
Rfam family: tRNA
About the family: Transfer RNA (tRNA) molecules are approximately 80 nucleotides in length. Their secondary structure includes four short double-helical elements and three loops (D, anti-codon, and T loops). Further hydrogen bonds mediate the characteristic L-shaped molecular structure. tRNAs have two regions of fundamental functional importance: the anti-codon, which is responsible for specific mRNA codon recognition, and the 3' end, to which the tRNAs corresponding amino acid is attached (by aminoacyl-tRNA synthetases). tRNAs cope with the degeneracy of the genetic code in two manners: having more than one tRNA (with a specific anti-codon) for a particular amino acid; and 'wobble' base-pairing, i.e. permitting non-standard base-pairing at the 3rd anti-codon position.
Source: Rfam by way of RNAcentral
GGGGGUGUGGCGGAACUGGCAGACGCAGCGGACUUAAAAUCCGCCGGUGAUGAGCCGUGAGGGUUCGAGUCCCUCCACCCCCA